This 460-nucleotide ribosomal RNA is filed under the name uncultured bacterium. Its description in RNAcentral is "partial 16S ribosomal RNA". It matches the Rfam family "Bacterial small subunit ribosomal RNA", at positions 338 to 795 of the family's 1533-position model. The record is from RNAcentral.
CCUACGGGCGGCAGCAGUGAGGAAUAUUGGUCAAUGGACGAGAGUCUGAACCAGCCAAGUAGCGUGAAGGAUGACUGCCCUAUGGGUUGUAAACUUCUUUUAUAUGGGAAUAAAAUGUUCCACGUGUGGGAUUUUGUAUGUACCAUAUGAAUAAGGAUCGGCUAACUCCGUGCCAGCAGCCGCGGUAAUACGGAGGAUCCGAGCGUUAUCCGGAGUUAUUGGGUUUAAAGGGAGCGUAGGUGGAUUGUUAAGUCAGUUGUGAAAGUUUGCGGCUCAACCGUAAAAUUGCAGUUGAAACUGGCAGUCUUGAGUACAGUAGAGGUGGGCGGAAUUCGUGGUGUAGCGGUGAAAUGCUUAGAUAUCACGAAGAACUCCGAUUGCGAAGGCAGUUCACUGGACUGCAACUGACACUGAGGCUCGAAAGUGUGGGUAUCAAACAGGAUUAGAUACCCCUGUAGUC